GAUAAACGCUGGCGGCGCACAUAAGACAUGCAAGUCGAACGGACUUAACUCAUUCUUUUAGAUUGAGAGCGGUUAGUGGCGGACUGGUGAGUAACGCGUGAGUAACCUGCCUUAAAGAGGGGGAUAACGUCUGGAAACGGACGCUAAUACCGCAUAACAUAUUGUUUUCGCAUGGAGAUGAUAUCAAAGGAGCAAUCCGCUUUAAGAUGGACUCGCGUCCAAUUAGCUAGUUGGUGAGGUAACGGCCCACCAAGGCGACGAUUGGUAGCCGGACUGAGAGGUUGAACGGCCACAUUGGGACUGAGACACGGCCCAG
RNAcentral lists this ribosomal RNA (316 nucleotides) under uncultured bacterium. RNAcentral describes it as "bacterial SSU rRNA". It matches the Rfam family "Bacterial small subunit ribosomal RNA", at positions 28 to 334 of the family's 1533-position model. The record is from RNAcentral.